GACGAACGCUGGCGGCGUGCCUAAUACAUGCAAGUCGAACGCUUCUUUCCUCCCGAGUGCUUGCACUCAAUUGGAAAGAGGAGUGGCGGACGGGUGAGUAACACGUGGGUAACCUACCCAUCAGAGGGGGAUAACACUUGGAAACAGGUGCUAAUACCGCAUAACAGUUUAUGCCGCAUGGCAUAAGAGUGAAAGGCGCUUUCGGGUGUCGUUGAUGGAUGGACCCGCGGUGCAUUAGCUAGUUGGUGAGGUAACGGCUCACCAAGGCCACGAUGCAUAGCCGACCUGAGAGGGUGAUCGGCCACACUGGGACUGAGACACGGCCCAGACUCCUACGGGAGGCAGCAGUAGGGAAUCUUCGGCAAUGGACGAAAGUCUGACCGAGCAACGCCGCGUGAGUGAAGAAGGUUUUCGGAUCGUAAAACUCUGUUGUUAGAGAAGAACAAGGACGUUAGUAACUGAACGUCCCCUGACGGUAUCUAACCAGAAGGCCACGGCUAACUACGUG
Molecule: ribosomal RNA, 508 nt
Filed under: uncultured bacterium
Lineage: Bacteria
Description: partial 16S ribosomal RNA
Rfam family: Bacterial small subunit ribosomal RNA
Source: RNAcentral